GAUGAAGAACGUAGUGAAAUGCGAUACUUGGUGUGAAUUGCAGAAUCCCGUGAACCAUCGAGUCUUUGAACGCAAGUUGCGCCCGAAGCCACUAGGCCGAGGGCACGCCUGCCUGGGCGUCACACGUCGUUGCCCCCCCAUCUACUCCUUCGGGAUUGCGGGGGGGCGGAUGAUGGCCUCCCGUGCGCCUAGCCGCGCGGUUGGCAUAAAUACCAAGUCCUCGGCGACGCACGCCACGACAAUCGGUGGUUGCGAAACCUCGGUUGCCCGUCGUGUGCGUUCGUCGCGCAUCGAGGGCUCGAAAAAAUGCUCGGCUUCGGCUCGGCUUUCAACGCGACCCCAGGUCAGGCGGGGUUACCCGCUGAAUUUAAGCAUAUCAAUAAGCGGAGGA
RNAcentral lists this unclassified non-coding RNA (391 nucleotides) under soil metagenome. RNAcentral's name for it is "partial contains 5.8S ribosomal RNA, internal transcribed spacer 2, and large subunit ribosomal RNA". The stretch from base 1 to 122 matches the Rfam family "5.8S ribosomal RNA", at positions 35 to 154 of the family's 154-position model. The record is from RNAcentral.